RNAcentral lists this transfer RNA (64 nucleotides) under Cerceris quinquefasciata. Its description in RNAcentral is "tRNA-Ile". RNAcentral also lists the same sequence under 1 other name. Lineage: Eukaryota; Metazoa; Arthropoda; Insecta; Hymenoptera; Crabronidae. The record is from RNAcentral.
AAUGAAGUGCCUGAAAAAAGGAUUAUUAUGAUAAAAUAAAUUAUGUAAUUUUUUACCUUCAUUU